Long non-coding RNA from Leopardus geoffroyi (Geoffroy's cat), 1619 nucleotides. RefSeq lists it as uncharacterized. Lineage: Eukaryota; Metazoa; Chordata; Mammalia; Carnivora; Felidae. The transcript is spliced from 2 exons. The record is from RefSeq and is a predicted model, not a curated record.
CGGAACAUUGGAAGGUGCCCACAACUGGCGUUAGUGUAUCUUUGUCACUUCAAAGCACCUCUGGACAGUCCUUUGCUUUUCCAGACAAGAGUGAGCUUAGGCACGCUUUGCUUCACUCUAGGUCAUUGGACAGGUUCCCUGUUAAAGUUGCAUGAAAACAAAAAGAACCCAUUGAGCCAACAGACGGCAGUGAUUCCGUUAGAGUGAAAGUCGUCCUACACAAGAACCCUUCUCUCUCUUGUCCCUCCCACACCAGCCACGAAGGUUUUCAAAGGGAAGUGCAGGUUAAUUUACUUUUUUUAUAUUUUGUGUCUUCUUUAUUAUUUUGUGUAACAGUAUCGCAGUCCUUUUUACCUGAAUAUUUUUGGGUUGUGGAACGAAUCAUCUGAGUUUCCUUUAUUUCUGCUGGGGAAAUUCGCUUUGAUGUACAAGUGCUUUGGAUUACAGGCAGGUUUCCGGAACAAACUAGGCUCGCAAAUCAAGGUUUCGCUGCGUGUAACUGUGACACGUCAAUCGCGUGUCCAUUUACACGUGUCCCUCAUAUUUAUCAAAAUAGUUCACGUGUCCAUAUAUGGUGGACGGUGAACACACAUCUGAAUAAAUGGCUACACAGAGUUGCCCGUGUGGCCAAAACCAAGUGUAAGGGCACUGUUCACCUUCCCACGUGAUUGGGGUUCUUUUCUGUUUCGUUUUUUUUUUUUUAAUUGAAAUCUCAAAUUGUGUUUUCAUUAGAAGAUAAAUCCUAAAUGUUUUCUCUUGGGGAAACGAAAACCUGCGAAGGCACAAGAUUUAGAGCAAAAUGUUUCUAAAUAUUACGCGUUUCCCGGGAGGCUGACAUUCUGAACAUGGAACAGAAUGGAGAACUCUGUGGAUGAGUGGGUGCGGGUGUCGCGAGAGCUGAUGUCACACAGCCUGGGUUCUGCGGGGUCAGAGAGACCCAUCGGUGACUGUUCACCCAGCAAGCUCCGGCCGGAGACGGGGCAUCGGAAUGUCAGGUCUUAAAACGUGCCCGACAGCUGUCCGUGAAGAUGACAGUGGGAUCGUUAGGGCUUUCUGACGCAAGGGUCUUGUUCCGGAACAUUGUUCUUUUCUGCUGUGGUGUGCGGUUGGCCUCAUGCAGCUCAGGGCCUCGGGACUCAGGGAUUGUUGCUUUUUGUCUGGGAGUGUUGCUGUCCCCGAUCUUCAAAGCCUUUGAGUAGACUGACUGGCUUCGCGAGGCUCCCAGUGUUUGAUGAGCUAAAUCGCUUACUCCAGUGUCCAGAUCACUGGAGUGAGUGGGAGAAGCGGAAGGGCAGAGAGAGAGGUAUGUGUACUCGAUGGUGUGAUGUGCCCUGCUGACGGCCUCCAGUUGUAAGAAACGGGCUUUAAAAAAAAAAAGAUAUCUAAUCUCACGUUUAUCAUAAAAUCUCUGAAGGGAAAUAGGACAGUGGCAUCGGCACAAAAGGCAGGUGACUUGGAGAAGGCCAUCCGGGGACUCGGCUGUCACCUAGCUCCCUGCUGUCCGGUUCCCAGCGACAGAGCCUCAGAAAGCGGUCCUAUGGCAGUGGUCCAGAGAGGUGGCCUGGGCCGCAUCUCCCGGCCCCAGCCCCGUUGUGUGAAAUACAGGCUGUCUGUGUUGA